This is a long non-coding RNA of Carassius gibelio (silver crucian carp), 303 nucleotides long. RefSeq lists it as uncharacterized. NCBI's taxonomy places the organism in Eukaryota, Metazoa, Chordata, Actinopteri, Cypriniformes, Cyprinidae. The record is from RefSeq and is a predicted model, not a curated record. The transcript has 3 exons.
AAGAAACAUGACACUGAAGAAGAAACAGAACAGACAGCUGAACAGGAUUCAGAUCUUAUUUGUGUGGACUCCUGUCCAAUUUGUGGAAAGCAGUUUCCUGCAGAGAUUGUUGCCUACCAUGCAAGUUCAUGUGGGGAAAGUUUUGCAGAGAUUUUCCCUACAUCCACACUGCCUGACUCUGAAAUUGUGCAAGUGGUCUCUGAAAGCAGCGCUGGUGCCUCUUUCUCUGUCAGCUCAACACUUCACACGAGACCUAGUACAUCAUUUACACUUCCACCAGAGGAUAUGCCAUUAGGGUCCAGA